GUGGGGAAUAUUGGACAAUGGGCGAAAGCCUGAUCCAGCCAUGCCGCGUGUGUGAAGAAGGUCUUCGGAUUGUAAAGCACUUUAAGUUGGGAGGAAGGGCAGUAAGUUAAUACCUUGCUGUUUUGACGUUACCAACAGAAUAAGCACCGGCUAACUUCGUGCCAGCAGCCGCGGUAAUACGAAGGGUGCAAGCGUUAAUCGGAAUUACUGGGCGUAAAGCGCGCGUAGGUGGUUUGGUAAGAUGGAUGUGAAAUCCCCGGGCUCAACCUGGGAACUGCAUCCAUAACUGCCUGACUAGAGUACGGUAGAGGGUGGUGGAAUUUCCUGUGUAGCGGUGAAAUGCGUAGAUAUAGGAAGGAACACCAGUGGCGAAGGCGACCACCUGGACUGAUACUGACACUGAGGUGCGAAAGCGUGGGGAGCAAACA
Molecule: ribosomal RNA, 428 nt
Filed under: uncultured bacterium
Lineage: Bacteria
Description: bacterial SSU rRNA
Rfam family: Bacterial small subunit ribosomal RNA
Source: RNAcentral